RNAcentral lists this ribosomal RNA (774 nucleotides) under uncultured bacterium. RNAcentral describes it as "bacterial SSU rRNA". It matches the Rfam family "Bacterial small subunit ribosomal RNA", at positions 28 to 793 of the family's 1533-position model. The record is from RNAcentral.
AUUGAACGCUGGCGGCAUGCCUUACACAUGCAAGUCGAACGGCAGCACGGGGGCAACCCUGGUGGCGAGUGGCGAACGGGUGAGUAAUGCAUCGGAACGUGUCCUCUUGUGGGGGAUAACCAGUCGAAAGACUGGCUAAUACCGCAUGAGAUCGAAAGAUGAAAGCGGGGGACCGCAAGGCCUCGCGCGAGAGGAGCGGCCGAUGCCGGAUUAGCUAGUUGGUGGGGUAAUGGCCCACCAAGGCGACGAUCCGUAGCUGGUCUGAGAGGACGACCAGCCACACUGGGACUGAGACACGGCCCCAGACUCCUACGGGAGGCAGCAGUGGGGAAUUUUGGACAAUGGGCGCAAGCCUGAUCCAGCCAUGCCGCGUGUGUGAAGAAGGCCUCGGGUUGUAAAGCACUUUCGGACGGAACGAAAUCGCGCGCAUGAACAAUGCGCGUGGAUGACGGUACCGUAAGAAGAAGCACCGGCUAACUACGUGCCAGCAGCCGCGGUGAUACGUAGGGUGCAAGCGUUAAUCGGAAUUACUGGGCGUAAAGGGUGCGCAGGCGGCCCCGCAUGUCAGGCGUGAAAUCCCCGGGGCUCAACCUGGGAAUGGCGCUUGAAACUACGGGGCUGGAGUGUGGCAGAGGGAGGUGGAAUUCCACGUGUAGCGGUGAAAUGCGUAGAUAUGUGGAGGAACACCGAUGGCGAAGGCAAGCCUCCUGGGCCAACACUGACGCUCAUGCACGAAAAGCGUGGGGGAGCAAACAGGAUUAGAUACCCUGGUAG